Molecule: long non-coding RNA, 521 nt
Organism: Populus euphratica (Euphrates poplar)
Lineage: Eukaryota; Viridiplantae; Streptophyta; Magnoliopsida; Malpighiales; Salicaceae
Exons: 2
Source: RefSeq, a predicted model, not a curated record
AAAGUUACCCUUCUCCAUCUUCUAAAGUGAACACAACUGGUUCAUGCCAUAAGUUUGGAGUAUGAGAGACAAUGCCUCAUGGUUUGUACCUGUCUCCUCUCCUUUGGUCACGAUGGAAACCUUUAUUCACAGUCCGCUCGAGAUAACCCCUUUUUUUUUUUUUUUAAUAAGCCUUCUUAUCUCCUUUUUUAGGGUAACAAAAUCUUUGAUGUCAUGACCCUUAUAUUUAUGAAACAAAUAAUAUUGUUUCUGAUUCUAAUUCUUCAUUUUCAUAUGAGGGGAUGAUUCACAUACCUUUUCUUUUAUAUAGUUGUAAAGACUCCAGCUUAAAGUGGUGUUCCAUGAUGUGACUUAGAGCUCUAGGAAUAUAAGGUGGUUGUGCAGAUACCCUUCAAAGUUUUUCUUGUAUGUUCAUGGGCUAUAUAGAGACUGACCAUGCUUUGGUUGUUCAUCACUCCACUUGCAAAGAUGAGUGUGCAUUAAUAUUUAAUAAUGAAAACUCAUUGAUAUGAUUAUUGAAA